This 465-nucleotide ribosomal RNA is filed under the name uncultured bacterium. Its description in RNAcentral is "partial 16S ribosomal RNA". It matches the Rfam family "Bacterial small subunit ribosomal RNA", at positions 338 to 795 of the family's 1533-position model. The record is from RNAcentral.
CCUACGGGCGGCAGCAGUAGGGAAUUUUCGUCAAUGGGCGCAAGCCUGAACGAGCAAUGCCGCGUGAACGAGGAAGGUCUUCGGAUCGGAAAGUUCUGUUGAAGGGGAAAAAGAGCGUAGAGAGGAAAUGCUUUCUGAUUGAUAUUACCCUUCGAGGAAGUCACGGCUCACUACGUGCCAGCAGCCGCGGUAAUACGGAGGUGGCGAGCGUUAUCCGGAAUGGUUGGGCGUAAAGGGUGCGUAGGCGGCCUGCUAAGUCUGGAGUGAAAGGUACCGGCUCAACCGGUACAGGCUCUGGAAACUGGCGGGCUAGAGAGCAGGAGAGGGCGGUGGAACUCCAUGUGUAGCGGUAAAAUGCGUAGAUAUAUGGAAGAACAUCAGUGGCGAAGGCGGCCGCCUGGCCUGUUAACUGACGCUGAGGCACGAAAGCGUGGGGAGCAAAUAGGAUUAGAUACCCUUGUAGUC